RNAcentral lists this long non-coding RNA (474 nucleotides) under Mytilus galloprovincialis (Mediterranean mussel). The record is from RNAcentral. Lineage: Eukaryota; Metazoa; Mollusca; Bivalvia; Mytilida; Mytilidae.
GGAGUAAUAAACAAUUGCAAAUACAUAAACUUUUUUAUUACACACACUGAUAUUUAUAUAGUAUACACGUAAAAUCUAUUUACACUAAGACUUCCUCUACAAGAAUUCACAGAAACGAUAUAUCAUACUGCAGGUACUGUUAUAUACAGAUAUGUAAUACAAAUAUUUAAUCAAAGCAACAUCUCAAAUAUAGCAUUUGGUUACAAAGAACAGCGAUUUUUAACACUGUUCAAUAUACAAAAUAUAAUAUCUUAAUUGCGCUGAGGUAGAAUUAAACACCAAAUUUUCUGGCUCAAAAGUAUUGUAUAAAAAAUGUAUUACAAUGAAAUUCAAAACAGUGUGGCUGUGGCCAUUGAUUGACACAUUAAAUUCAUCCAUUGACUGGGAUAAUUUACGUGAACUUGUGUCUGUAACGACCACUGUUCACGACGUACCUAAGAUAGACAUUUAAACUGUGGGGUCACCAAAGGUUUC